AGGGCUGCUCCCUGAGUGGAGCCGGUAUCUUAUUUUGACUCCACACGGGAAAACUCACCCAGCCCGGACACGGAAAGGAUGGACAGACUGAUGGCUCUUUCUUAUUUCAUUGGGUGGGGGGGCAUGGCCGCCCUUUUUUGGUGGAGCAAUUUGUCUGUGCCAUUUGCAUAACGAACGAGACUCUGGCCUAUUAAAAAGACGGUUGAUCAAAGAGUAUGCUGCACUUCUUACAGUCACUGACUCCGUCUAGUCGCAUGAAAUACAGCAAUAACAGGUCUGUGAUGCCCUUAGAUGUCCGGGGCUGCAAUCCACGCUACACUGAAAAUAAUCAGAGUGCGCUGUACCUAGUUCGGAAGAACCGGAUAACCCAAGUAAAUUCUUUCGUGCUUGGGAUAGGGAAUUGCCAUUAUUUCCCUUACACUAACAAUUCUCAGUAAAUGCGACGCUUAAGCUCGAGUUGAUUACGUCCCUGCCCUUUGUACACACCGCCCGUCGCUACUACUGGAUUGUAUGACUUGC
RNAcentral lists this ribosomal RNA (519 nucleotides) under uncultured eukaryote. Its description in RNAcentral is "bacterial SSU rRNA". It matches the Rfam family "Eukaryotic small subunit ribosomal RNA", at positions 1161 to 1701 of the family's 1831-position model. The record is from RNAcentral.